This 500-nucleotide ribosomal RNA is filed under the name uncultured bacterium. Its description in RNAcentral is "partial 16S ribosomal RNA". It matches the Rfam family "Bacterial small subunit ribosomal RNA", at positions 30 to 523 of the family's 1533-position model. The record is from RNAcentral.
AUUGAACGCUGGCGGCAUGCCUUACACAUGCAAGUCGAACGGUAACAGGGAGCUUGCUCCGCUGACGAGUGGCGAACGGGUGAGUAAUGUAUCGGAACGUACCUUUUAGUGGGGGAUAACGUAGCGAAAGUUACGCUAAUACCGCAUAUUCUCUGAGGAGGAAAGCAGGGGACCUUCGGGCCCUGCGCUAAUAGAGCGUCCGAUAUCAGAUUAGAUAGUUGGUGAGGUAAAGGCUCACCAAGGCGACGAUCUGUAGCGGGUCUGAGAGGAUGAUCCGCCACACUGGAACUGAGACACGGUCCAGACUCCUACGGGAGGCAGCAGUGGGGAAUUUUGGACAAUGGGGGCAACCCUGAUCCAGCAAUGCCGCGUGAGUGAAGAAGGCCUUCGGGUUGUAAAGCUCUUUCGGCCGGGAAAAAAUCGCAUGGGUUAAUAACCUGUGUGGAUGAUGGUACCGGAAUAAGAAGCACCGGCUAACUACGUGCCAGCCGCCGCAGUAA